Molecule: RNA transcript, 3330 nt
Organism: Cercocebus atys (sooty mangabey)
Lineage: Eukaryota; Metazoa; Chordata; Mammalia; Primates; Cercopithecidae
Gene name: actin, cytoplasmic 1-like
Exons: 1
Source: RefSeq, a predicted model, not a curated record
UCUACUGGGUUAAGGCCCCACCCUUAUGACCCCAUUUGGCAUUAAUUACCUACAAAAAGGCCCUGUCUCCACAUAUAGUCGCAUUGGGGGUUAUGGCUUCAACAUAUGAAUUUGGGGUUGGAAGUGGAUACAAUUCAGUCUGUAGUACUUUCUAACCACUAAAUGCCUAUAAAAUGUAAGCUCAGUAAGGGCAAGGACUUGGGCUGUGUUUUUCACUGAGCUGUCCUGUCUUUCCAAGGCCUGUUACAGUGCCUGGCACAGGCACAUAGUAGGCCCUCAAUAAAUGUUUGUUGAAUGAAUGAAUGAUGGCCUCUUCUUCUCUCUGAUGCUCUGAGAUUGAGGAAAUCUGUGAGAAAAGAUCAGGUAAGGAGGCAUUUUUUUUUUCAUAAGAAGUAGAAAGUUUUUAUGUAGUGUUGCAUUUUUCAGUUUUAUGAUAAGAUUUAUAAAGAUGCUCAGUCAUCGCUGCCAGCCCCUGCGCCAUGUCCUCCCUUUGCGCCGUGCUCCUCCGCCUGUGGCAAUGGAAGAAGAGAUCCCCCGCUCUUCAUUGACAAUGGCUCCAGCAUGUGAAAAGUGGCUUUGCUGGGACAAUGUCCUCUGAGCCAUGUUCCCCUCCAUCGUCAGGUGCCCCCGGCACCAGGGUAUGAUGGUGGGCAUGGGCCAGAAGGACUCCUAUGUGGGCGACGAGGCCCAGAGCAAGUGUGGUAUCCUGACCCUGAAGUACCCCAUCAAGCACCGCAUCGUCACAAACUGGGACGACAUGGAGAAGAUCUGGCACCACAUUUUCUACAACGAGCUGCGCGUGGCCCUGGAGGAGCAGCUGGUGCUACUGACGGAGGCCCCACUAAACCCCAAGGCCAACAGGGAGAAGAUGACUCAGAUCAUGUUUGAGACCUUCAACACCCCGGCCAUGUACGCAGCCAUCCAGGCUGUGCUGAUGCUCUAUGCCUCUGGGCGCACCACUGGCAUUGUCAUGGACUCUGGAGACGGGGUCACCCACACGGUGCCCAUCUAUGAGGGCUACACCCUCCCUCACACCGUCUUGCAUCUGGAUCUGGCUGGCCAGGACCUUACUGACUACCUCAUGAAGAUCCCCACCUAGCGUAGUUACAGCUUCACCGCCAUGGCCAAGCGGAAGAUCGUGCGCGACAUCAAGGAGAAGCUAUGCUAUGUCGCUCCGGACUUUGAGCAGGAGAUGGCCACUGCUGCAUCCUCCUCCUCCCGGGAGAAGAGCUAUGAGCUGCCUGACAGCCAGGUCAUCACUAUCGGCAAAUGAGCGGUUCCGGUGUCCGAGGCACUGUUCCAGCCUUCCUUCCUGGGCAUGGAAUCCUGUGGCAUUCAUGAAAGUACCUUCAACUCCAUCAUGAAGAGUGAGGUGGACAUCCCAAAGACUUGUAUGCCAACACAGUGCUGUCUGGCGGCACCACCAUGUACCCUGGCAUCACCGACAGGAUGCAGAAGGAGAUCACUGCCCUGGCACCUAGCACCAUGAAGAUCAAGAUAUCAUGCCCCCAGAGUGCAAGUACUCAGUGUGAAUCUCUGGCUCCAUCCUGGCCUCACUGUCCACCUGCCUGCAGAUGUGAAUUAGCAAGCAGGAGUACCACGAGUCGGGUCCCUCCAUCGUCCACCGCAAAUGCUUCUAAAUGGACUGCAAGCAGAUGCAUAGCAUUUCUGCAUGGGUUAAUUCAGAAGUAUAAAUUUGCCCAUGGAAAAUGCAUACACCUUAUGCUGUCCUCACGAUACCGGAAUAAGCCUUUGAAAAGAAAUUGUCCUUGAAGCUUGUAUCUGAUAUCAGCACUGGAGCAUAGAACUUGUUGCUGAUUUUAACCUUGUAUUCCAGUUAACUGUUGCCCUUGGUAUUUGUUUAAUACCCAGUACCCUGUACAUAUCUUUGAUUUCAAGCCUUAGUACACGUGGCUUGGUCACUUCAUGGCUGAGGUGAGAACGUGCUUGUGGAAGACAAGUCUGUGGCUUGGUAAGUCUGCAUGGCCAGCAGUCUCUGAUCUGUGCAGGGUAUUAAUGUGUCAGGGCUGAGUGUUCUGGGAUUUCUCUAGAGGCUGGCAAGGGCUCCUGAACCAGUUGUUUCUGUCCUGCCGGUCUGUCAGGGUUGGAAAAGUCCAAGCCAUAGGACCCAGUUUUCUUUCUUAGCUGAUGUUUUCCUACUGGAAUACCGUGGGCUGUUACUUGCUUUGAGUCGGAAGCGGUUUGCAUUUAUACCUGUAAAUGUAUUCAUCCUUUUAAUUUAUGUAAUUUUUUUUCUUUUUCUUUUUCUUUUUUGUACAGAAUUCUCAAUUCUUUAAAGAGAUGAUAACAAAUUUUGGUUUUCUACCAUUAUGUGAGAACAUUAGGCCCCAGCAACACACCAUUGUGUAAGGAAAAAUAAAAGUGUUGCCAAUAAAAAAGAUUUAUAAAGAUAAACAAUCUGAGUUAGAUUAUUUAUUUAAUAAAUCAUCUAAUUCAUUCACCCAUUUCUUCUAUCAAAUAUUUACUUAGCACCUAGUAGAUAUUCAUCAUAUGGUUGGGUGCUGUGGGUGAAGCUAAGAAGGGUAAGACACCAUCCUUAUUCUCAAAGCGUUUGCCGUGUGCUUGCUGAGGGAUGUGGUCAACACAGGAAGCAGUUAGGUAACUACACAAUUAUGUAUAAAAGAAUCACUAGAAAGAUCAUACUUCCCUUCCCUGAGAACUAAUAAGAGGAUGCAGUCUUAAGUAAAACAGGAUACCUGCUAGGUAAAAGGCAAAGAUUUCUUUAUGGCAGAGUUGUUUAAGACUUAUAGAAGUAGCUCAGGUAAGCUUAAAACUGAAACAAAGUACUGUAAAACUCCACUAUGAGGCACUUGAGAUAAUAUGAAGUGGGCAUUUGGUUAUUGGCUCCCAUCUUUUGCCAAGCUCCCAUACACAAAUGGGAGCAGGCUCCAACUUUUAUCUUCAAGGGAACAGGAAAGAGAGAGGAGAAAAGGGCAGGGAAGGAAAGGCCCAGUGGGUAAUGAGAGGCAACCUGUCCCCAGAAGCGGAGAAGGGGAAGGGGGGUUUCCAUGUUCUUAGAAUCGCCCCGACCUCAUCUUCCUGAAUUGGGCUGACAACCACACAGAGAUUCCUUGAAUCUUUGCUGUGGUCCUUAGACAGCCAUAGAACCCAGAGUUGCCCCUAUUGAUAUUUAACCAGGAGAAGACAACCGCCAGCACCAGUGGCAUAAAAUCACAGCUGGACCUGCAGAACCCAAGGUUGGCUAGCUGCUUGGACCUACCCAGUCACUCCUUAAUCUUGAUCCUAGCACUAUGGGAGGCUGAGGUAGGCACAUCGCUUGAGCCCAGGAGUUCAAGACCAGCCUGGGCA